CCACUGCAUUAACACAAAAACCUAAAGUUAAUAUCUUACAAAGAUUGUAUUUACUUAACUUGGCUGAUGUAGUUACCUCACGUUAUCAGUAAUAGGAACAAUAACUGGAUUGAAACUGUAGAUGUUAUACUUCCAUAAGUCAUUUUUUGACCCUUGCACUUUAUUUGGUUUAGUCAAACUUUUUUUUAUGAGAUCAAAUCUUUUCCGCCACUUACAAAGCUGGAAUUUAAUUAAAGCAGAUUUUUUAUUUUUUUAAAGUUUGGAUAUUGCCGUUUCUAAUUUUCCAAGGCUUUACUGAGUUGAGUAUAUUAUCUACAGGGUCAAGUCCACAGUUCAGUUUCAGAAGUGUUCAACAACAGCUAUGACAGCAGUGUCAACGUGUAAGGAGGUGCCUCAGCAAAAGCAAUAAGAACGUACACUAAAUGUGGAAAUAUCCUUCAUGACAGUUCUCGCUUCAUUGCCAGCAUAUUUCCCAACAAGAGGAACAGGCAUGUUGGUAUCUGACCAGAAUUUGUGUCUACUUGUAAAGCUUCCAUAAAGUAUUAAUAAGACUUCAAUUAUGCAUAGACCUUCUAUUUUUCACAAAUAUUGCACAUUUCUCUGUUCGUGACAAACAUAGGACACAGACAGAAUAUUCUGGUCUUCCAUUGACCAUGUCUCCAAUGACUAGUCUCCAAGAAGACAGAUAAGGUAUUUUCUCAGUGGACAACAGACAAUACCAAAAUUUUGCAGCAAACAUACCUGUCCUUUAGAAAUCAAUAAUAUACAGAAUAACUCCCAAAGUGAUCAGAAAGAUUCUUCAAAAGGACCAUUUUUCAUAGAAGCUGAAUCAGUACAGGUGGAGCAGUAACAGUUCAUGGAGCUGCCUUUCACAAACCUUGAAGUAGCUUUCAUCCUGCUGGCUUUUGUCAUUUUCUCCUUGUUUACCCUGGCAUCUAUCUACAGUGAUCCCCAUGACAACAAAGAAGAGGAAUGCUCCACACAGGAAGGAUACAAGAAAAAGAUCAAAUCCAACAAGAAAAAGGCGCGUACAAGUAUGACUGAAGUGAUUUAGAAAAAGAACUAUUACCCAGGUCCACUGCUGGACAUACCUCUGAAAGAGGUAGCUUUGGAAGCUGGUCACCUGAAGACAGUGAGAAAAAGGAUGUGAGAAAGGAAGGACCUGAUCACCCAUCAGAUGGAAUCCAGACGUGACAAUUAGAGUUAAUGAACCAUGACCCAUGAAGCUGUUUCAGCACCUUUUUACAACCCCACUUCAUGGCCUUAAUAAAACUUCCAAGGCUUUUUUUUUUUUUACAAAGCACAUCUGCUCUACAUACUAAGGGGAGAAACUAGAUUCAGAAGUUAUGUAUAAAGUAUACUUAAGAUCCGUGUGUUUACUCCUCUAUCUGUUAAGUCAACUGAACAUCAGAAGAUACUAUUUCUACAAGACUGUAUAGCAUUAUUAUAGUAGUUAUUUAAUUUACAUUAACAUUAAUAAGCUGCUAAAGCUGACUGAAAAGUACCAGGCAAAUAUUUUUAAGUUAACCACUAUAAUGGCAUCUAUGUUCAUAUACUGGUUUUGACCCCAGAUAUUUAGAAAGCUAAUAAGAUGUCUUAAGAAAAUUAGGUUGAUUGAUUUGCUGCUUUUGAAAGGUGCCUAACUCAACCUUGAUACUAAGUCCUCCAUUUCUUCACAGACACAAAACAUUUCUGCAGUUUUGGGAUCCCAUCCAUUUCCUGUAGGUCUCAAGCACAAGUAUUACACCAGCACUGCUGCUUCUGUGCAUAAUUAAAAUUAGCAAAGGGAAGCACAAAGUAGUUCAUGAGGAGCUCUGGUUGGGCUCUAAGUUUUAAUAUACACAGGGAAGGAGAACUUGCUUAGUUUCCCACCACAGUGAUGAGUAAAAAUAUCAAGAAAUUGACCUUGUUGUACAGCAAAUCUUAAGAUGGCAGUUGUAGAGCAGCUUAAUUAUGAUGCAUCAUUUUCAGACUGUCAGUGUUUUUUAGGGUAGUAAGGAGAAUGCCUUAUUCUGUCAGAUAACUAACACUAACUCCAAAUUCCUGUUUGAUCCCAUAUCACACUUUUUUUUUCUUUUUUCUUUUUCCUAGAAAAGGGACUAAGUUCCUUUCAGAACCUCUCAACAGUUUCCCCAAAUCACCAGAAUCCAUGUACUUGGUCUUCUGCUAGUACAUGGAAUGGAGGAUUGAAAUAGGGCCAAACAAUUCUUGUUUUUUUCAUACCAGGCAUUCCUUUCCCUGGCCUCCUCCUAAGAUAUUUAGCAAUUAUGCAAGUCUGUAUGCAAGUCAAUAUGCAACAUUCUCCCUACCUAUGGCAGAGAGCUCCAAAUCUCACUGAAUGCUGAGCUCCCUACCUUCUCCAGUGACACUGCCACACUUCAUCCCUAGCUACUUUCCUGCUGUCUCCUGCCUCCCCUACUUGUCCUCUCCACCAACAGGGAUCAUGAAACAGUGGGAGUGACAGAAAGGUAAAAUCUCAAGAAUUACAAUUUACUUAAUCUUUCAAAAUUAAAUUCACUCUCUCCUUCUAGACCAAUUGUAUAGGUGAAACUGUUACACUUCCCCUCCCACCCCUCAUUUGAUAUUAAUCAGUAAUUUAGAAAAAAUAAUCAGGUUGCAUAUUAAUCCAUGACCAAAUCAAUGCUAGAUCCAUUUCCUGGAAGGAUAAUGUAAUGUUUUGUCACAACUUCAUUUGUCAUCCCAAGGUUUGAUAAGUAUUCAGCUUGUGCUAACACAAAAAAGGUUUCCCCCAAACAAAUCAAUUCACUAUGAAAACCGAUGCCUAAAUUACAACUGCUUUUUGGUAGUGGUAGUCUAUUCCAGGGAUACUUUUCUAGUGGCCUUGGUCAGAAAUACGCAAAGGCAAGAUACUUGGUGCAGAGCAGGAAGCUCACAAAAGCUUGAAGGCAGUGUCUUGUGGCAAGCUGCAUCCCAGUUCCAUCUUCUCACUGUGUUAGAAAGUGAUCGGUUAUGUCUGGGAAAGAAAAAGGCAUCUCAGCCACUGGUACCCCUUUCACUCUGAACGUAAAGAAAAACAUAAUUCAGAAGUUAGAGUCCAGUUUGAUCUUGCAGUGGGAAAUGUCUGUGGUAUGUGCAGGACCUCAUUGGGAGUGUCUGCCUCUCAUGGGAAGUGGCUCAUAGAUCUUCUUCUUAACUCAGGUUGUACUCACACAUUCCACUUUUUUAUUAGUAGUACUUCACACUCUUUACUGAUACCCAGGCUUGCUCAAGCUGAAUUACAAGAAAUUGCUAUUACUGUCACCAGUUACCUUCUUACAGUGAAAUCACUUUCAGGAAAAUAAAAAAAAAAAAGGAAUGUUGCUGUCUUCUGUUCUCCUAGUAUGGGCAUGUGGAUAAAUUAAAUGAUACUUAUGUCUUUCUGUAAGGAGAUUCAAAAUUUUUCUCUAAAAAAAAGAUGAUCGGAAGGACAGAGAAGGAAAAAGCAUGGUAAAAUGCCUGAUAUGAAGUUAUUUGACUGAAGAUGAAUGGUAGAGGAAUGUUAUAAAAUCUCUCCAUAUCUUAAUCAACAGUUUAAAUAAUAAAACACUUCAUUUUAUUCUAGGAAGUCUUUUCAACACACACACAAAAAAAUGUUGCAUGGUAUUUUAAAUGGCCUGGGGACUAUAAACUGUCUCCUCCAGUACACACAUUAUUGCUACAAUAAGUUUAUCUUUAUCUUUUUUUUUUUUUUUUCCCCACUUCAUUAACGUCCCAAGGGCUCAGUAAAUGUUACUGGUAUUGAAAACACUGUCAAACAGGUGAAAUAAAAUAAAAGGGGAAAUUAAUUUUUAAAAUAUCAAAAUAUAGAGUGUUUGCUGAAAAGAUAUCCUGCCUUGCUUAUACAUUGAACUAUUUUUAAGUAUGUGUUCAGAGAAGUUGUGUAACAUAUAAUAUAGUAAAUAAAGCACCCACAAAACAGGUGAGUGACAUUA
This is a non-coding RNA of Anas platyrhynchos (mallard), 3932 nucleotides long. The record is from RefSeq and is a predicted model, not a curated record. Lineage: Eukaryota; Metazoa; Chordata; Aves; Anseriformes; Anatidae.